GAAGAAGUGCAUUGAAUAAGGGGGCCCUUCUCUCUAAGCUUAUCAUGAAAAGGCUGAUGGAGAGACAUGAUCAAAUCUUGUCUUAAAGUUAGGUUUGUUUCCACUUUGGAUGGGUGAGUUGUAGUUGGAGACUUGUGAGUUUUCAGCGUGGUGUCUUUUUAUGAGCUUGAUGGACCCUUGUGUUUCAUCAUAUUAUUGCUGUGUGUGUUGUCUUUAUGCUUU
This 222-nucleotide unclassified non-coding RNA is filed under the name Hevea brasiliensis (rubber tree). Lineage: Eukaryota; Viridiplantae; Streptophyta; Magnoliopsida; Malpighiales; Euphorbiaceae. The record is from RNAcentral.